GUUGGUGAACCAGCGGAGGGAUCAUUACCGAGUUUACAACUCCCAAACCCAAUGUGAACGUUACCAAACUGUUGCCUCGGCGGGAUCUCUGCCCCGGGUGCGUCGCAGCCCCGGACCAAGGCGCCCGCCGGAGGACCAACCAAAACUCUUUUUGUAUACCCCCUCGCGGGUUUUUUAUAAUCUGAGCCUUCUCGGCGCCUCUCGUAGGCGUUUCGAAAAUGAAUCAAAACUUUCAACAACGGAUCUCUUGGUUCUG
This 256-nucleotide unclassified non-coding RNA is filed under the name rhizosphere metagenome. RNAcentral describes it as "partial ribosomal RNA internal transcribed spacer region". The record is from RNAcentral.